RNAcentral lists this signal recognition particle RNA (84 nucleotides) under Kluyvera cryocrescens. Its description in RNAcentral is "partial signal recognition particle sRNA small type". It matches the Rfam family "Bacterial small signal recognition particle RNA", at positions 14 to 97 of the family's 97-position model. Rfam says of the family: The signal recognition particle (SRP) is a universally conserved ribonucleoprotein involved in the co-translational targeting of proteins to membranes. Archaeal SRP consists of a 7S RNA and homologues of the eukaryotic SRP19 and SRP54 proteins. The record is from RNAcentral. Lineage: Bacteria; Pseudomonadati; Pseudomonadota; Gammaproteobacteria; Enterobacterales; Enterobacteriaceae.
GCAACGCUACUCUGUUUACCAGGUCAGGUCCGGAAGGAAGCAGCCAAGGCAGAUGACGCGUGUGCCGGGAUGUAGCUGGCAGGG